Long non-coding RNA from Saccostrea cuccullata (small rock oyster), 495 nucleotides. RefSeq lists it as uncharacterized. The record is from RefSeq and is a predicted model, not a curated record. The transcript is spliced from 3 exons. Lineage: Eukaryota; Metazoa; Mollusca; Bivalvia; Ostreida; Ostreidae.
CUAUGUUCCCUUGGAGGAAGUUGAAGUUCCGGAAGCAAAUAUUCUGCUUGUAGGACAAGUUGGUGCUGGGAAAUCAAGUUUGCUGAAUACUUUCAAUUCCAUAUUUAAAGGAGAAGUGACGUCACGGACCUGGACAGGAAGUUCUGAACACAGUCUCACGGCAAGUCUCAACAAAUUUCGUAUCAGGCACCUCCCACAAAGAAGUUUUUAAACUUCAGAUUGUGCGACAUGCGAGGACUAGAAGAGAACUUAUGUAUAAAAUAUGAAGACAUGGCUUUCGUCAUGGAAGGAAAUCUACCAAACAACUACAAGUUUAACCCUGUGGCCCAGGCCUCCUUUGACACCCCUGGCUUUCAGAAGCAGCCAACGCUGAAGGAUAAAAUACCUGUAGUUGUUUUUGUGGUGGACAGAAGCAAUUUGAAGUGAUGCCGGAGGGAAUUCUAAAGAAGCUCAGGGAGACAAGAAGCAUGGCUAUAGAUAGAGGUAAAUAUAACA